AUUGAACGCUGGCGGCAGGCCUAACACAUGCAAGUCGAGCGAGCGGCGGACGGGUGAGUAAUGCCUGGGAAUGGCCAAGUCGAGGGGGAUAACAGGUGGAAACGACUGCUAAUACCGCAGACGAGUGGAUUGCCCAGGUGGGGUUAGCGAGUUGGUGAGGGAAUGGCUCACCAAGGCGACGAUCCCUAGCUGGUCUGAGAGGUGGAUCAGCCACACUGGAACUGAGACACGGUCCAGACUCCUGCGGGAGGCAGCAGUGGGGAAUAUUGCACAAUGGGGGAAACCCUGAUGCAGCCAUGCCGCGUGUGUGAAGAAGGCCUUCGGGUUGUAAAGCUCUUUCAGCGAUGAGGCGUUACUCGCAGAAGAAGCACCGGCUAACUCCGUGCCAGCAGCCGCGGUAAUAC
This 404-nucleotide ribosomal RNA is filed under the name uncultured bacterium. RNAcentral describes it as "partial 16S ribosomal RNA". It matches the Rfam family "Bacterial small subunit ribosomal RNA", at positions 29 to 526 of the family's 1533-position model. The record is from RNAcentral.